Molecule: non-coding RNA, 75 nt
Organism: Parelaphostrongylus tenuis
Lineage: Eukaryota; Metazoa; Nematoda; Chromadorea; Rhabditida; Metastrongylidae
Source: the annotation of a GenBank genome assembly
GUCUCAGUGGUUGUAGUGGUAGAGCACGCGUCCCCGGAUAGGAUGAAACGUGGGUUCGAUUCCCCUCCCGAGGUC